UUCCAGACUCAAUUUUAGGUCGAAACGAAACGGUAGUCACAGCCGUAAUGAUUAACUGCUUGAACUAUAGAACCUUUCUGCUAAUGGAAACGGGUGUGAGAAAUGCUCUUACCUAGAUGUUGCGGGACAGUGUGUGCUGGAUAAGAUAGAGAAUACUACAAAGUUAACUGUACCACAGAGGACCAACUUCAGCUGUAUUAGAGGCAAACAGUCAACAGGUCAAGGACUUUUUCAAUUCACAACAUCACAGCUCAGUGUCCAGACUUACUCAGCUGAUAAAUUACCGUGUAAAUCAGGAUGGAAUUCAACAGCAACUAGUGUCCAAAAGUGGAGAUACAAAUUAGACACACUGUAUGUUUCAAUUCUGGGCAAAUUUUUAAUACAAGCAAACAAAAGGAGAUCUGAGCUGAUUGCUGGUUAGUGUUCACUCUCCACGGUGUGUGUGUGUGUGUGUGUGUGUGUG
This is a long non-coding RNA of Mizuhopecten yessoensis (Yesso scallop), 463 nucleotides long. RefSeq lists it as uncharacterized. The record is from RefSeq and is a predicted model, not a curated record. The transcript has 3 exons. Lineage: Eukaryota; Metazoa; Mollusca; Bivalvia; Pectinida; Pectinidae.